This 496-nucleotide ribosomal RNA is filed under the name uncultured bacterium. RNAcentral's name for it is "partial 16S ribosomal RNA". It matches the Rfam family "Bacterial small subunit ribosomal RNA", at positions 28 to 523 of the family's 1533-position model. The record is from RNAcentral.
GACGAACGCUGGCGGCGUGCUUAACACAUGCAAGUCAAACGAGAAUCUACUGAAAGAGUUUUCGGACAAUGGAAGUAGAGGAAAGUGGUGGACGGGUAAGUAACGCGUGAGGAACCUGCCUUGAAGAGGGGGACAACAGUUGGAAACGACUGCUAAUACCGCAUGACGCAUAGAGGUCGCAUGAUCUUUAUGCCAAAGAUUUAUCGCGUCAAGAUGGCCUCGCGGCUGAUUAGCUGGUUGGCGGGGUAACGGCCCACCAAGGCGACGAUCAGUAGCCGGACUGAGAGGUUGAACGGCCACAUUGGGACUGAGAUACGGCCCAGACUCCUACGGGAGGCAGCAGUGGGGAAUAUUGGGCAAUGGGCGCAAGCCUGACCCAGCAACGCCGCGUGAAGGAAGAAGGCUUUCGGGCUGUAAACUUCUUUUAAGAGGGAAGAGCAGAAGACGGUACCUCUAGAAUAAGCCACGGCUAACUACGUGCCAGCCGCCGCCGUAA